AUUGAACGCUGGCGGAAUGCUUUACACAUGCAAGUCGAACGGCAGCACGGACUUCGGCCUGGUGGCGAGUGGCGAACGGGUGAGUAAUGUAUCGGAACGUGCCCAGUCGUGGGGGAUAACGUAGUGAAAAUUACGCUAAUACCGCAUACGAUCUAUGGAUGAAGGCGGGGGAUCGCAAGACCUCGCGCGAUUGGAGCGGCCGAUAUCAGAUUAGGGAGUUGGUGGGGUAAAGGCCCACCAAGCCAACGAUCUGUAGCUGGUCUGAGAGGACGAACAGCCACACUGGAACUGAGACACGGUCCAGACUCCUACGGGAGGCAGCCGUGGGGAAUUUUGGACAAUGGGCGAAAGCCUGAUCCAGCCAUUCCGCGUGCAGGAUGAAGGCCCUCGGGUUGUAAACUGCUUUUGUACAGAACGAAAAGGUUUCUACUAAUACUAGGAGCUCAUGACGGUACUGUAAGAAUAAGCACCGGCUAACUACGUGCCAGCCGCCGCAGUAA
Molecule: ribosomal RNA, 500 nt
Filed under: uncultured bacterium
Lineage: Bacteria
Description: partial 16S ribosomal RNA
Rfam family: Bacterial small subunit ribosomal RNA
Source: RNAcentral